This 115-nucleotide ribosomal RNA is filed under the name Denitrificimonas caeni. The record is from RNAcentral. Lineage: Bacteria; Pseudomonadati; Pseudomonadota; Gammaproteobacteria; Pseudomonadales; Pseudomonadaceae.
CUUGACGACCAUAGAGCGUUGGAACCACCUGAUCCCUUCCCGAACUCAGAAGUGAAACGAUGCAUCGCCGAUGGUAGUGUGGGGUCUCCCCAUGUGAGAGUAGGUCAUCGUCAAG